ACUUUACAAUGCGGGAAACCGUGAUAAGGGAACUCCGAGUGUCCGUAAAUGCGGACUGUCCGUAUGUUUAAAAAGCAUGCGAAGAAAGGGCCGGGCAAGACCGGUGCCAGCCGCCGCGGUAAUACCGGCGGCUCGAGUGGUGGCCACUAUUACUGGGCUUAAAGCGUUCGUAGCUGGGUUGUUUAGUCUCUUGGGAAAUCUACCGGCUUAACCGAUAGGCGUCCAAGGGAUACUGGCAAUCUAGGGACCGGGAGAGGUGAGGGGUACUUCAGGGGUAGGA
RNAcentral lists this ribosomal RNA (280 nucleotides) under uncultured archaeon. RNAcentral's name for it is "partial 16S ribosomal RNA". It matches the Rfam family "Archaeal small subunit ribosomal RNA", at positions 347 to 631 of the family's 1478-position model. The record is from RNAcentral.